Oncorhynchus tshawytscha (Chinook salmon) is the source of this 794-nucleotide long non-coding RNA. The record is from Ensembl. Lineage: Eukaryota; Metazoa; Chordata; Actinopteri; Salmoniformes; Salmonidae.
ACGGAGAGCACCUGAUGGACCUGUCAUUAUUCACCAAUACAGACAAUAACACCACGUAUGAGAACAGGAAGGCCCCUUUAUUACGGAGAGAGUGAAAGAUGUACAACGUUGAAAUGGUUUUGACUAGAAGAGAGAAAUAAAGGUUGUGUUUGAUUAUGUCAUGUUAUUAUUCUAAUUUUAUUAUUAUUAAGUUUGUGAUUUUGUGUUUUCUGUCCCUGACAGUUCUGAUCAGAGACGCGUGAUUAAAGCCUUACCUCUGUAAAAGUUACACUGUUUAUUCCUCCGACCACGAAGAAGAAGAAGGCAUAACUAUCUUAUUCCUCCGACCACGAAGAAGAAGAAGGCAUAACUAUCUUAUUCCUCCGACCACGAAGAAGAAGGCAUAACUAUCUUAUUCCUCCGACCACGAAGAAGAAGGCAUAACUAUCUUAUUCCUCCGACCACGAAGAAGAAGGCAUAACUAACUUAUUCCUCCGACCACGAAGAAGAAGGCAUAACUAUCUUAUUCCUCCGACCACACUAGUAAAGGGCCCAGUGAAAUGCCUUGGUGCUGUAACUGUUAACCAUAAUCAAGAGAACAGAAGGUUUCCUGCUCAGAGGAAUAUAUCUGAAGGAAAAAAGACUUAGAGAAACCAAACAGAAAACAAUCUCCCACUAUCACAAUACAUAUGUAGUUAUCCCAUAACACAGGCCAGCCAUAGGUGAUGCUUCAGUCCUCAACUACCCCAGGAUCCAAUAUGUUGUUGUCCCAGAACACAGGCCAGCCAUAGGUGAUGCUUCAGUCCUCAACUACC